GGUGCUGUGGCUUAGUUGGUUAAAGUGCUUAUCUAGUAAACAAGAGAUCCUGAGUUCAAGUCGCAGCAGUGCCU
Molecule: non-coding RNA, 74 nt
Organism: Xenopus laevis (African clawed frog)
Lineage: Eukaryota; Metazoa; Chordata; Amphibia; Anura; Pipidae
Source: Rfam